RNAcentral lists this ribosomal RNA (256 nucleotides) under uncultured bacterium. Its description in RNAcentral is "partial 16S ribosomal RNA". It matches the Rfam family "Bacterial small subunit ribosomal RNA", at positions 524 to 776 of the family's 1533-position model. The record is from RNAcentral.
UACGAGAGGGGCAAGCGUUAUUCGGAAUGAUUGGGCGUAAAGAGCACGUAGACGGUGAAUGUAGACACCACUCUCCAUCUCAAAGCUCUACUUUGAGGCCGAGUGGUUUGAGAUACGUCACUUGAGUGAGUUAGGGGAACAUAGAAUUCCUAGAGGAGCGGUAAAAUGUGUUGAUUUUAGGAGGAAUACCAACAGCGAAAGCAGUGUUCUGGGACUCGACUGACGUUGAGGUGCGAAGGCGUGGGGAUCAAAAGGG